AUGAUCAUGAGGCCCAUGAGGAGGAGGACGCUAGUGACGGUGAAGGAGAUGGAGAAGAAGAAUCCGCCGAGCAAGGAUCACGCGAAGAAAGGAGAUUCAAAGACUGUUCCCAAGAAGACGUAUAGCCCAUUAGUAGAAGCAUUUGGUGUGAUGCAAAGAGAUAGUGUUGAUCUGAAAAUCAUGGAGUUUAUUACUGCAAAUGGUAUUCCUUUCAAUGUGAUGAGAAGCCCUCAAUAUUAUGAAAUGGUAUCUGCAAUGAAACAAGCUCCAAAGGACUACAAACCACCAUCAUAUGAGAAAGCCAGAACCACACUUUUAGAUGCAUGCAAGGCAAAUGUCGAGAAAGAGUUAGCACCAGUUCGAGAAACAUGGUAUACGCAUGGUGUUUCUAUUGUUAGCGAUGGAUGGAUGAAUAUUGAAAAGGAGCCACUCAUUAAUGUCAUAGCUUCGAAUAGUCGUGGAUCGAUGUUUCUCUAUGCAGAAGAUUUCUCUGGAACUGAGAAAAGUGGUGAAGCUAUUGCUGAAUUUUUAUUAAAAGCUAUUGAUGAAAUUGGUCCAUCGAAUGUUCUUCAAGUAGUGACAGAUAAUGCCUCAAAUUGUAGAGUAGCUGGCAAAGCAAUUGCGGAUGUAAGUGCAUGAAAAGCUCCUAAUCAAGAUAGUGAGGUUAUGCCUGCUGUUUUAGAGGCUUUUGCCAAGAUAGCAGAAGAUGAAUAUGAGGAAAAUCUACUGCGUAUGCAGUUUAAUCACUUCGUCACAAAGAAGGGGAUGUUUGCAAUGCAUGCUGUUCAAUUAGAUGCUGUCACAAUGAAUCCCAUUGAUUGGUGGUUCAGUUAUGGUGCCGAAACUCCAGAGUUGGCUGAGGUAGCGAAGAAAGUUUUGUCCCAGCCUAUUAGUAGCUCAUCGGCUGAGAGAAAUUGGAGUACGUACUCUUUUAUCCACAAUGUCAAGAGGAAUAAGCUUAAUGGGAAGAAUGCAGACAAGCUCGUCUAUAUCCAUGCGAAUAUACGCCUACUGUCCAGGUUUAGAGAAAGUUACAAGAACGGGCCACAUUACAAGUGGGAUGUAUAUCCAGAUAAUUCUUCAUUAGAGGAAUCAAGCUCCAAACUUGAGGAGCUUCGUUGGAAGAACUUAGAGGAUAAUUCUGUUGAUGAUGAACCACCUAUGGAUGAAGGAACACAACCAACAAAAAGGCAGAAGACCGCAAAGACUAAGAAAUAA
RNAcentral lists this ribosomal RNA (1218 nucleotides) under Triticum aestivum (bread wheat). RNAcentral describes it as "partial small subunit ribosomal RNA". Lineage: Eukaryota; Viridiplantae; Streptophyta; Magnoliopsida; Poales; Poaceae. The record is from RNAcentral.